GCCUGGGUGGCUCAGUCGGUUAAGCGUCUGACUUCAGCUCAGGUCACGAUCUCAUGAUUUGUGGGUUCGAGCCCCGCAUCGGGCU
Molecule: transfer RNA, 85 nt
Organism: Felis catus (domestic cat)
Lineage: Eukaryota; Metazoa; Chordata; Mammalia; Carnivora; Felidae
Rfam family: tRNA
About the family: Transfer RNA (tRNA) molecules are approximately 80 nucleotides in length. Their secondary structure includes four short double-helical elements and three loops (D, anti-codon, and T loops).
Source: Rfam